CUGAUGGAGCACGCCGCGUGAGUGAUGAAGGUUUUCGGAUCGUAAAACUCUGUUGUUAAAGAAGAACAAGUGUUAGAGUAACUGUUAACACUUUGACGGUAUUUAACCAGAAAGCCACGGCUAACUACGUGCCAGCAGCCGCGGUAAUACGUAGGUGGCAAGCGUUGUCCGGAUUUAUUGGGCGUAAAGCGAGCGCAGGCGGUUUUGUAAGUCUGCUGUGAAAGCCCUCAGCUCAACUGAGGAAGUGCAGUGGAAACUACAAAACUUGAGUACAGAAGAGGAAAGUGGAACUCCAUGUGUAGCGGUGAAAUGCGUAGAUAUAUGGAAGAACACCAGUGGCGAAGGCGGCUUUCUGGUCUGUUACUGACGCUGAGGCUCGAAAGCAUGGGUAGCGAACAGGAUUAGAUACCCUGGUAGUCCAUGCCGUAAACGAUGAAUACUAGGUGUUGGAGGGUUUCCGCCCUUCAGUGCCGCAGCUAACGCAUUAAGUAUUCCGCCUGGGGAGUACGACCGCAAGGUUGAAACUCAAAGGAAUUGACGGGGGCCCGCACAAGUGGUGGAGCAUGUGGUUUAAUUCGAUGCUACGCGAAGAACCUUACCAGCUCUUGACAUCUUCUGCCAACCCAAGAGAUUGGGCGUUCCCUUCGGGGACAGAAUGACAGGUGGUGCAUGGUUGUCGUCAGCUCGUGUCGUGAGAUGUUGGGUUAAGUCCCGCAACGAGCGCAACCCUUAUUAUUAGUUGCCAGCAUUUAGUUGGGCACUCUAGUGAGACUGCCGGUGAUAAACCGGAGGAAGGUGGGGACGACGUCAAAUCAUCAUGCCCCUUAUGAGCUGGGCUACACACGUGCUACAAUGGAUGGUACAACGAGUCGCGAAACCGCGAGGUCAAGCUAAUCUCUUAAAGCCAUUCUCAGUUCGGAUUGCAGGCUGCAACUCGCC
This 939-nucleotide ribosomal RNA is filed under the name Apilactobacillus kunkeei. RNAcentral's name for it is "bacterial SSU rRNA". It matches the Rfam family "Bacterial small subunit ribosomal RNA", at positions 383 to 1316 of the family's 1533-position model. Lineage: Bacteria; Bacillati; Bacillota; Bacilli; Lactobacillales; Lactobacillaceae. The record is from RNAcentral.